Long non-coding RNA from Miniopterus natalensis, 177 nucleotides. RefSeq lists it as uncharacterized. The record is from RefSeq and is a predicted model, not a curated record. Lineage: Eukaryota; Metazoa; Chordata; Mammalia; Chiroptera; Miniopteridae.
AAAAAAGGAGACCCAGGUCUGGCUGGCACUAAUGGACAAAAUGGUUUGAAAGGUGACUUGGGUCCUCGUGGUCCACCCGGCCCAAAAGGAGAAAAGGGAGAUACAGGACCUCCAGGACCACCAGCCUUAACUGUAAGUAUUCUUAAAAUCAAAAAGCAAAAUUGAAAUAUGUUAUCC